GGCCCUUUAGCUCAGUGGUUAGAGCUGGCGACUCAUAAUCGAUUGGUCACUGGUUCAAGUCCAGUAGGGGCCACCA
Molecule: transfer RNA, 76 nt
Filed under: Salmonella enterica
Lineage: Bacteria; Pseudomonadati; Pseudomonadota; Gammaproteobacteria; Enterobacterales; Enterobacteriaceae
Description: tRNA-Met
Rfam family: tRNA
About the family: Transfer RNA (tRNA) molecules are approximately 80 nucleotides in length. Their secondary structure includes four short double-helical elements and three loops (D, anti-codon, and T loops).
Source: RNAcentral